UCCACGGAUGAAAGCAGGGGACCUUCGGGCCUUGUGCUAUACGAGCGGCCGAUGUCUGAUUAGCUAGUUGGUGAGGUAAAGGCUCACCAAGGCGACGAUCAGUAGCGGGUCUGAGAGGAUGAUCCGCCACACUGGGACUGAGACACGGCCCAGACUCCUACGGGAGGCAGCAGUGGGGAAUUUUGGACAAUGGGCGCAAGCCUGAUCCAGCCAUGCCGCGUGUCUGAAGAAGGCCUUCGGGUUGUAAAGGACUUUUGUCAGGGAGCAAAACUUACUGGUUAAUACCUGGUGAGGUUGAGAGUACCUGAAGAAUAAGCACCGGCUWACUACGUGCCAGCAGCCGCGGUWAUACCUAGGGUGCAAGCGUUUAAUCGGAAUUACUGGGCGUAAAAGCGUGCGCAGGCGGACUUUUA
Molecule: ribosomal RNA, 413 nt
Filed under: uncultured bacterium
Lineage: Bacteria
Description: bacterial SSU rRNA
Rfam family: Bacterial small subunit ribosomal RNA
Source: RNAcentral